AGUAAUAUAAAUUUACAACCGCAGACAGUUAGCGGGGGUGGAACGGAUUAAGUUCCCGAGUUUUGAAAAAGACUUGUUUCUCCCUUAAUAUUCCAGCUAACCGAGGUAAGACAGUCGAAAUAUAAUAAAAUAGAUUUGUUAACCUAUGAGAUUUUGCGGUCAUAUAUGAAAGAUGCAAAAUCUUUUGUAUUUUAAA
Non-coding RNA from Clostridium sp. CAG:768, 196 nucleotides. The record is from Rfam. Lineage: Bacteria; Bacillati; Bacillota; Clostridia; Eubacteriales; Clostridiaceae.